UCCCGGGUCGUCUAAGGGCAGGACAAUUGGUUUUGGUCCAAUUUAUGGGGGUUCGAAUCCUCCCCCGGGAG
RNAcentral lists this transfer RNA (71 nucleotides) under Sporichthya sp. RNAcentral's name for it is "tRNA-Gln". It matches the Rfam family "tRNA". Rfam says of the family: Transfer RNA (tRNA) molecules are approximately 80 nucleotides in length. Their secondary structure includes four short double-helical elements and three loops (D, anti-codon, and T loops). Further hydrogen bonds mediate the characteristic L-shaped molecular structure. tRNAs have two regions of fundamental functional importance: the anti-codon, which is responsible for specific mRNA codon recognition, and the 3' end, to which the tRNAs corresponding amino acid is attached (by aminoacyl-tRNA synthetases). tRNAs cope with the degeneracy of the genetic code in two manners: having more than one tRNA (with a specific anti-codon) for a particular amino acid; and 'wobble' base-pairing, i.e. permitting non-standard base-pairing at the 3rd anti-codon position. Lineage: Bacteria; Bacillati; Actinomycetota; Actinomycetes; Sporichthyales; Sporichthyaceae. RNAcentral also lists the same sequence under 1 other name. The record is from RNAcentral.